UCCCCUUGCCAGGGAGCUCUCACGUGAGGCAGAGACACUCGGCGGCUGCCUGCUCCGUCUGCAGGAGCCAUCUUGUUAUGUCUGUAGUAAAAAGGUACAUGUGUCUGGUCUCACUCUGGCUUCCUGCAGUACUCGGGCUGCAGCGCGCUCACAAAGACAGUGACACCCGCAGCUGCGGCUGUGCAAGCAGCGCUGUCUGGCGUUAGCAGUGACCCCAGGCUGCAGGAAGUAGCUGUUUUUGCCAGGACACAGCGUGUCAGUAAAUGGUGCAAACUGCAACACACACAGACAAGAAGCUGCAAUGCACAAACCAGCAGAAACCAAACAGAAGGCACAGAGAAUAAAGACACAAUCGCUAGAGCUAAAGUUGCUGAUACCCAGGUGUAUGUGCUAAGCUUAGACCUGCUGUGGGGCAGUAUCUCCAGUCUGCUUUAGUAGCAAGGCUGCUCUUCUAACUGCUGAAAGCACUGAGAGCUGUGUUAAGUAAAGGGACAUCAAGGCAUUGCAGAGGUUGCAGUAAAGUGGCACAAUGGUGGCGUGAACAAUGAUGCAGACAGAGGCCAGUGGCCUAGUGACUGACAAUGAAGCAGCCAGCGGCACGGUGAACGAUGAAGCAGUGACAGCAGCAGGCAGCAACACAGCGUGAAUGGUGCAGCAGCAGCUGAGGCAUUGGUCAGCCCCUCCCCCAUCCCACCAAGGUGGGAGGAGAACUCACCGGAACGCUCCUCUGAAUUCUGCAUCUUUGCUGACCAAGUACAACUACAAUCCUGAGAUACAAGAUCGUCGUGCCCCAAAAGACAUCUGGGUUCAAUCUCUCUCUGCAGACAUUGAAUGCUUCCUGCACAGCAGCCUUGCAGCAAAGUUUGAUCUGCUCCUUUCAGACAAGUCACUUCCCACCAUUGCCCCAGCUCCCUGAAUGACAAGAACCAGCCAACUGGGAAACGGGGGAGAGGAUGGUUUAAAACAGGAUUACCGAUUAUAAAUAUUGUUACAAAUCUGGAGCACCCAAGGACUUCCCUGUUGUCACUCUGCUGAACUGCAUGGCCUCUCAGGGCUGCACUAUGACUGUGUGCAUAGGACUUGGCUUCUCCUACCCCAAAAACCUGGGCCUCAAUGACUGGAGUAAAAGGAGAUUCUCCACUAGAUGUUAGCAGUAUAGAGCCUGUGAUACACAACUAAGCAUUUCUGAUUCAUCCAACAAUGCCCUGCAGUGCAUAUAUAUACUAAAUAGCUGGGUACAGUGUUAGUGCUGUUUUAUAAUGGGGAUGAUUCACCUUUACUCCCUGCAGCCCUUUAGCCCUCCCUGGGCUCAGUCGUUAAAUAGUCCCAGCCCUGGUAUGGGGCCAUAUCCCCAGCGCUUCGUCCCUGGAGAUAUGACCUUCCUACGGCCGGGCUCAGUCCCAGCAUCUAGCCAGGAGCUCCUUCUUUGCUCCCCCGGUCCCUACUAGCAAAUUGUCUUUGGCUCAGUCCUGGCAGCCAGCCAGGAGCCUCUCGCUGCCCCAGUCCCUUCCCUCACUUAGCUGUCUGUGCGCCUGCUGCUCUUCAGCCAGGCACACACUCCUUUCUUUUCCAGCUCCAAACAGCAAUUAACUGCUGAUCUGUUCUACAGCUCCUUUUAUAUGGCCCUCCUGGCCUCUGAUUGGCUGUUCUAGCAGCCCCGCUGAUUGAUUGCUUCCGCGCAACCACUCUAAGCCGCUUGGAGGCUCUCUCCACAGCUCCUUUCCUGGGAUGGGUGUGGCAAACCCUGAGGCCUCCAGCAGGGGGCCUUGGGCCUAGUCCAACCCAUCACAAGCCCCCAGAUAACAAAGUCCAAUAAUUUUGGAUCAUGUCCCUGUACUGUGGUCCUAGUGAAACACUUGAAACAUUAGCUCCCUCACUCUGCAUGGAACUUACUGUGCUUCAUGGCAAAACCCUUUCUGUCUCUAGGUGUUUAUAGAGCACCAGCACCACAGAAACCAGGCACUGUAUUAAGAGGCCUCCACUCAAGCCCUGUCCCUCCAGGGGGCCUUUCGCUACCCUCUCUCUCUUCCAUGUCAUUAAGUUAUCACAGUGCAACAGGUAAAUCAGAAAGAUCUUCACAGGCUAUUCGUGCUCUGGAGCAGAACGUUUCCUCCUCAUUCGUGGUCCAGACUAAUCCAGUCUCUCUCAUUUCAGUUAUGCCAGGACGUGCAAUAGCUCCAGUAUGGCCAUUGUUGAUGGUAAGAUGCUCUCAGGCUUCAUCCCUUCAGAUCAUCCUGGUAAAAGCCUUGUUUAAAGCUUCAGGAUGAUCGUGUGAUGAUGCAGGUGGAAACCAAGAACACCUGUGUCCCCUUCUACAUGGAGAACAUAAAUUCAAAAAGAAAUUUUUCCCUCUGGUGUUAUAUAUGUCUACAAGUUUUAAACAGAUGCCUUUGGAAAAUUUUUAGUCUCAAGGCCAAAAAUCUUAACAAGACAACUGUAAAGAAACUGAUCAGGUGAACAGGGACUCUCUGGGCUCUCACCUCUGCCAUGCAAGGUCUCUCAGAAGAAUAUCAGUUUAUCUUUCUCAGCUGAGCAAGAACUUCCUGUGUCCAACAUCAAACCAGUUUCAGUGCUGAUCUACGGUUACUAUAAAAGAGCUGUAGGGACAGAAACAAACUCUGCAUCUUUCCACCGAGGAGGCAAGAGGUCAGCAUACUUGUAUCAUGAAUGGAAAAUCACAGCCUAGGUUGGCUGUAAUACACUGGAAGGAUUUGGGGCAAACACGUCUUGUUGAGUGCCGCACAGCCUGUGGUCAGACAUCUCACCCGGAAAGCAGCUGCAAGUCUGCAGCGAUUAGAGCAACAUGACAAACAUGGAAUGUGACUGAGGAAAGAAGCCAGACAGCUUAUUUACCUCUGACUAUAGACUCUUAGUAAAUGUUACACUUACAAUCUGAUUGACUGCAUGCUGUGACUGUCCAGUGGUAACUUGGCUAGAUUCAACCCUAGUGUUUAUAUCCCCUCCAUGAACUCCCUCCAGCUCUAUAAGACCACACAUGACCCUGGUUCCACACAGACUGAGAACAGUAGUUGGUCAAAGCAUGUAACAUUCCCCAUAAUAAACUUCUCAAAUUCCA
Chrysemys picta bellii (western painted turtle) is the source of this 3076-nucleotide non-coding RNA. NCBI's taxonomy places the organism in Eukaryota, Metazoa, Chordata, Testudines, Emydidae. The record is from RefSeq and is a predicted model, not a curated record.